This 192-nucleotide ribosomal RNA is filed under the name uncultured Streptococcus sp. Its description in RNAcentral is "partial 16S ribosomal RNA". It matches the Rfam family "Bacterial small subunit ribosomal RNA", at positions 1191 to 1382 of the family's 1533-position model. Lineage: Bacteria; Bacillati; Bacillota; Bacilli; Lactobacillales; Streptococcaceae. The record is from RNAcentral.
CAUCAUGCCCCUUAUGACCUGGGCUACACACGUGCUACAAUGAUUGGUACAACGAGUUGCGAGUCGGUGACGGCGAGCUAAUCUCUUAAAGCCAACCUCAGUUCGGAUUGUAGGCUGCAACUCGCCUACAUGAAGUCGGAAUCGCUAGUAAUCGCGGAUCGGCACGCCGCGGUGAAUACGUUCCCGGGCCUU